AUGCAGAUCCACAACCAGGAGGGUGCCGCGCGCUCGACGGUGCUGAUGUUACACAUCUACGACGGUGUCCUGCGCUUCUACAGCGGGGCGGACGUCGAGCCCGACAUCUACAACCGGUGGUUCCGCCGAAACGUGGUGCACGAUGUCCGGGCGUCAACGGUGGCCGUGUACGUCGACGGCAAGCACAAGUUCGGCACCAGCUUGACACCCAGCAAGUCCUACUACUUCAAGUUCGGGGUCUACACUAAGCACUGA
This 255-nucleotide ribosomal RNA is filed under the name Triticum aestivum (bread wheat). Its description in RNAcentral is "partial small subunit ribosomal RNA". The record is from RNAcentral. Lineage: Eukaryota; Viridiplantae; Streptophyta; Magnoliopsida; Poales; Poaceae.